RNAcentral lists this ribosomal RNA (465 nucleotides) under uncultured bacterium. RNAcentral's name for it is "partial 16S ribosomal RNA". It matches the Rfam family "Bacterial small subunit ribosomal RNA", at positions 28 to 507 of the family's 1533-position model. The record is from RNAcentral.
GACGAACGCUGGCGGCGUGCUUAACACAUGCAAGUCGAACGGAAAGGCCCUGCUUGCCGGGUACUCGAGUGGCGAACGGGUGAGUAACACGUGGGUGAUCUGCCCUGCACUUCGGGAUAAGCCUGGGAAACUGGGUCUAAUACCGGAUAGGAGCCAUUUUUAGUGUGAUGGUUGGAAAGUUUUUUCGGUGUAGGAUGAGCUCGCGGCCUAUCAGCUUGUUGGUGGGGUAAUGGCCUACCAAGGCGGCGACGGGUAGCCGGCCUGAGAGGGUGGACGGCCACAUUGGGACUGAGAUACGGCCCAGACUCCUACGGGAGGCAGCAGUGGGGAAUAUUGCACAAUGGGCGCAAGCCUGAUGCAGCGACGCCGCGUGGGGGAUGACGGCCUUCGGGUUGUAAACUCCUUUCGCUAGGGACGAAGCUUUUUGUGACGGUACCUAGAUAAGAAGCACCGGCUAACUGCGUG